ACGGGAGGCAGCAGUGGGGAAUAUUGCACAAUGGGCGCAAGCCUGAUGCAGCGAUGCCGCGUGAGGGAAGAAGGUUUUCGGAUUGUAAACCUCUGUCUUCGGGGACGAUAAUGACUGUACCCGAGAAGGAAGCUCCGGCUCACUACGUGCCAGCAGCCGCGGUAAUACGUAGGGAGCGAGCGUUAUCCGGAAUUACUGGGUGUAAAGGGAGUGUAGGCGGGACUGUAAGUCAGAUGUGAAAUAUACCGGCUCAACUGGUAGACUGCAUUUGAAACUGCGGUGCUUGAGUGAAGUAGAGGUAAGCGGAAUUCCUGGUGUAGCGGUGAAAUGCGUAGAUAUCAGGAGGAACACCGGUGGCGAAGGCGGCUUACUGGGCUUUUACUGACGCUGAGGCUCGAAAGCGUGGGGAGCAAACAGGAUUAGAUACCCUGGUA
RNAcentral lists this ribosomal RNA (434 nucleotides) under uncultured Ruminococcus sp. RNAcentral describes it as "partial 16S ribosomal RNA". It matches the Rfam family "Bacterial small subunit ribosomal RNA", at positions 341 to 792 of the family's 1533-position model. The record is from RNAcentral. Lineage: Bacteria; Bacillati; Bacillota; Clostridia; Eubacteriales; Oscillospiraceae.